Molecule: ribosomal RNA, 253 nt
Filed under: uncultured bacterium
Lineage: Bacteria
Description: partial 16S ribosomal RNA
Rfam family: Bacterial small subunit ribosomal RNA
Source: RNAcentral
UACGUAGGGUGCGAGCGUUGUCCGGAAUUAUUGGGCGUAAAGAGCUCGUAGGCGGCUCGGUAAGUCAGGUGUCAAAUCCUCAGGCUCAACCUGGGGCUCCACCUGAUACUGCUGUGGCUAGAGUCCGGUAGGGGAGCGUGGAAUUCCUGGUGUAGCGGUGAAAUGCGUUGAUAUCAUCAGGAAUACCGGAGGCGAAGGCGGCUCACUGGGGGUUUUCUGACGCUGAGGAACGAAAGCCAGGGGAGCGAACGGG